GGGGAUGAUCGGUUUCGACGGGGAAAGACAGGCUGUGAGCUGCAAGCCGGGGAGGCUUCGUCUCCGUAAACCCAGAAGCAAACCAUAAAUGCCAACACUAUGGCAAACAAUUGGGCCCCCGUUGCCGUCGCUGCGUAAGCAGUAGGCAGCUAAGCUCAAUGAACUGACCGGGUAACCGGUCACGCCUCUUCAGCGCCUCGCAUGCGCGUUGGAGUCAGGUGACAUAAAGUAUGCGUGCAGACUGGUCGACGCCGAUAAGCCAGUCCAAGACCAUCGGCUUAGCGUGGACGUGGCGUUGUCGACUACGACCCUCCACGCGAAACCUAAAGCGUCGACUAAGCUUGUAGAAGCUCAUCGUCGAUUUCUUCGGACGCGGGUUCGAUUCCCGCCAUCUCCACUA
Molecule: transfer-messenger RNA, 400 nt
Filed under: Anaerolineae
Lineage: Bacteria; Bacillati; Chloroflexota
Also listed under: 1 other name
Description: PWVB01 sp016927095 Standard tmRNA
Rfam family: transfer-messenger RNA
About the family: Bacterial tmRNA, also known as 10Sa RNA or SsrA, is named for its dual tRNA and mRNA-like properties. Its role is to liberate the mRNA from a stalled ribosome.
Source: RNAcentral